GACGAACGCUGGCGGCGUGCUUAACACAUGCAAGUCGAACGGAAAGGCCCUGCUUUUGUGGGGUGCUCGAGUGGCGAACGGGUGAGUAACACGUGAGUAACCUGCCCUUGACUUUGGGAUAACUUCAGGAAACUGGGGCUAAUACCGGAUAGGAGCUCCUGCUGCAUGGUGGGGGUUGGAAAGUUUCGGCGGUUGGGGAUGGACUCCCGGCUUAUCAGCUUGUUGGUGGGGUAGUGGCUUACCAAGGGUUUGACGGGUAGCCGGCCUGAGAGGGUGACCGGGCACAAUGGGACUGAGAUACGGCCCAGACUCCUACGGGAGGCAGAGGUGGGGAAUAUUGCACAGUGGGCGGAAGCCUGAUGCAGCAACGCCGCGUGCGGGAUGACGGCCUUCGGGUUGGAAACCGCUUUCGCCUGUGACGAAGCGUGAGUGACGGUAAUGGGUAAAGAAGCACCGGCUAACUACGUG
This 468-nucleotide ribosomal RNA is filed under the name uncultured bacterium. Its description in RNAcentral is "partial 16S ribosomal RNA". It matches the Rfam family "Bacterial small subunit ribosomal RNA", at positions 28 to 507 of the family's 1533-position model. The record is from RNAcentral.